UAGGGAAUAUUGCACAAUGGGCGAAAGCCUGAUGCAGCAACGCCGCGUGCGCGAUGAAGGCCUUCGGGUCGUAAAGCGCUUUUCGGGGAGAUGAGGAAGGACAGUAUCCCCGGAAUAAGUCUCGGCUAACUACGUGCCAGCAGCCGCGGUAACACGUAGGAGGCAAGCGUUAUCCGAAUUUACUGGGCGUAAAGCGCGUGCAGGCGGUUCAGUAAGUUGGAUGUGAAAUCUCCCGGCUCAACCGGGAGAGGUCGUUCAAUACUGUCGGACUAGAGGAUGGUAGAGGGAGGUGGAAUUCCCGGUGUAGUGGUGAAAUGCGUAGAUAUCGGGAGGAACACCAGUGGCGAAGGCGGCCUCCUGGACCAUUCCUGACGCUCAGACGCGCAAGCUAGGGGAGCGAACGG
RNAcentral lists this ribosomal RNA (404 nucleotides) under uncultured bacterium. Its description in RNAcentral is "bacterial SSU rRNA". It matches the Rfam family "Bacterial small subunit ribosomal RNA", at positions 355 to 775 of the family's 1533-position model. The record is from RNAcentral.